CAGCUAUUUAAGAGAUAGAAGCAGGGAUUUCAAGAGUACAAGGUCAGCCUGGGCUUGACUCAUCUCAAAACAAACAACCCCCAGCUCCCAGUAUGCAGUAUGAUUCAUUGUGACUUUCAAAGCACACGUGUUUCACAGAUUGUUCCUAAGUGCAUGCAUAUGUCGGAAGAAGCACUUAAAACCGAUAAGAGUCUCUCACUGCACAUGGAGCUCACCAACUGGCUAGACUGUCUCCAUAGCCCCAGCACUGGAAUUACAGCAUGUGGAGAUCAGAGGUCAACUUGUCAGAAUUGAUACUCUUCUUCUACCGAGUGGGUCCUAAGGAUGAAAUUCAGAUUGCCAUGCCUGACAAGAAGUAUCUUGUACUCAAAGCCAUCUCACUGCCUUCAUUUUUAACACAGUGGUAGCAUCCUACAUACAAGUUCUGUGCCUUUCUUGCUUCGUUUAACAAUAAAUCUUG
Molecule: long non-coding RNA, 460 nt
Filed under: Cricetulus griseus (Chinese hamster)
Lineage: Eukaryota; Metazoa; Chordata; Mammalia; Rodentia; Cricetidae
Description: lncRNA (ENSCGRG00015043072.1)
Source: RNAcentral